This 498-nucleotide ribosomal RNA is filed under the name uncultured bacterium. RNAcentral's name for it is "partial 16S ribosomal RNA". It matches the Rfam family "Bacterial small subunit ribosomal RNA", at positions 30 to 523 of the family's 1533-position model. The record is from RNAcentral.
AUUGAACGCUGGCGGCAUGCCUUACGCAUGCAAGUCGAACGGUAACAGGUCUUCGGAUGCUGACGAGUGGCGAACGGGUGAGUAAUACAUCGGAACGUGCCUAGUAGUGGGGGAUAACUACUCGAAAGAGUGGCUAAUACCGCAUGAGAUCUACGGAUGAAAGCAGGGGAUCGCAAGACCUUGUGCUACUAGAGCGGCCGAUGGCAGAUUAGGUAGUUGGUGGGAUAAAAGCUUACCAAGCCGACGAUCUGUAGCUGGUCUUAGAGGACGAUCGCCCACACUGGGACUGAGACACGGCCCGGACUCCUACGGGAGGCAGCAGUGGGGAAUUUUGGAAAAUGGGCGCAAGCCUGAUCCAGCAAUGCCGCGUGCAGGAUGAAGUCCUUCGGGUUGUAAACUGCUUUUGUACGGAACGAAAAGCCCCGGGUUAAUACCCUGGGGUCAUGACGGUACCGUAAGAAUAAGCACCGGCUAACUACGUGCCAGCCGCCGCCGUAA